AACAUGAGAUGCUCAGAAUAAAGAGAGCGAGCGAGAGAGAGAGAGACAGAAGAGAGACAUGGAUCACCUGCUGCUGCUGCUGAUGCUACUGGUCUGUAGCUCAGGACUCCAGGCUGAAGGAGAACACAACUCAACAGAGCCUGGUGUUAGGCUGGUGGGAGGAGAGAGUCGCUG
Trematomus bernacchii (emerald rockcod) is the source of this 174-nucleotide long non-coding RNA. RefSeq lists it as uncharacterized. Lineage: Eukaryota; Metazoa; Chordata; Actinopteri; Perciformes; Nototheniidae. The transcript has 3 exons. The record is from RefSeq and is a predicted model, not a curated record.